Triticum urartu is the source of this 1172-nucleotide non-coding RNA. The record is from RefSeq and is a predicted model, not a curated record. NCBI's taxonomy places the organism in Eukaryota, Viridiplantae, Streptophyta, Magnoliopsida, Poales, Poaceae.
ACUGAGGACACGACAGUCUAUCCACUGGACAUGGUCAACCCGGCCAAAACGCGCCGUUUGCACCAGUGCCCAUGGUGAUCAUGCUGGCGUCACGCACAUUGCAAGCUCUGGCUCGGUCCGGCCACUGUGCUCGUCUCCUCCCUCCUCGUCUCGAUGUCCAACCAUGUCCUGGAGCUUCCCCGUGAUCGACUACAUCUCCCUGCGUCGCUGUCCCGUCAUGGUUCGCCUUAAAUGCGUUGCAAACACCAUGCAUGUGCCAUGCCCAGCCUCUGUCCACCACUAUAGCACUGCACAAGCUCGCUAGUGUUGCUCUAGAGCCCUCCCUCGGCUAUUUAAGGGUGCCCCGAGCCCUCCCGCAACUCACUCACUCCUUCCCCGCCUCUCUAUCCCACUGGAAUCGCCUCACCUCGCUUCUGUUCGCCAUGGCCGCUUCGGUCUCUCCUUGGUCCCGGUGUGCCUAGCCCCUCUGCUCUCCUCCCGAGCUGUCCACGAGCUUCCCCUCGUCCCCGCGGUUCGCCCCAACCCCUUGCCCCUCGCCGGUGCCGCGUUCGUCCGGCCGCCGCGCGAUCCUUUCGGUUGCCUCCCUGUCUCGCCCAUCCCGACCCCCUCACUCCCUCUAGUCACCACCACCAGCUUCCUCACCCUCCGGCGACUCUCCCCACGCUCUUCUCCUGCCACCGGAGCCACCAGGGCCGUCGUCCCCGCGUGCAACGGCCGGCGCCCGCCCCUCUGUUCCCCUCGAAGUUCCGCUUCUUCUCGUCCUCCCCGGCGUCCAGUUCCUCUCUAAACGGGUGCGGCACGCCACCCUGAAGCCGCCGAUGCUCUCGCCUUGGCCUGGAGUGGCCGGAGUCGGCGGGGCCAGCGCCGGCAGCGCCCCUGUCUUCCUCCCCUGCUUUCUGUCGUGGCCAGGCACGGGAGGAAGAAGAAGACAGGGGAAGGAGAGAGAAGGAUAAGGUGGGCCCCACAAGUCAUCCUCUGCCCGUUGACCCCACCACUGCCAUGUCAUGAUUUGUUUGCUGAAGAAAUAUUCACAGAUUGGUCCUUCUUCUUCCACACCUCAUAACUCCGCAACCGUAACUCCGAUUGAGCCCCUCCGAGAAAGAACCGCCCGACGUUUCGUUCCGCGGCUUCACCGCACUUCUUCCCGGAGUCUCCGUCACCCCCAGGCAAGC